RNAcentral lists this ribosomal RNA (200 nucleotides) under uncultured bacterium. RNAcentral's name for it is "partial 16S ribosomal RNA". It matches the Rfam family "Bacterial small subunit ribosomal RNA", at positions 8 to 204 of the family's 1533-position model. The record is from RNAcentral.
AGAGUUUGAUCAUGGCUCAGAGCGAACGCUGGCGGCGUGCCUAACACAUGCAAGUCGAACGUGAAAUGUAGCAAUACAGAGUAAAGUGGCGUACGGGUGAGUAACACGUAGGUAAUCUACCUGAGUGUCUGGAAUAACCGGCCGAAAGGCUGGCUAAUACUGGAUAGAGCGACGGGACCCGUGAACGGGUCUUUCGGGAA